This 479-nucleotide ribosomal RNA is filed under the name Pseudomonas sp. Its description in RNAcentral is "bacterial SSU rRNA". It matches the Rfam family "Bacterial small subunit ribosomal RNA", at positions 53 to 528 of the family's 1533-position model. Lineage: Bacteria; Pseudomonadati; Pseudomonadota; Gammaproteobacteria; Pseudomonadales; Pseudomonadaceae. The record is from RNAcentral.
ACAUGCAGUCGAGCGGAUGAGAGGAGCUUGCUCCUGGAUUCAGCGGCGGACGGGUGAGUAAUGCCUAGGAAUCUGCCUGGUAGUGGGGGACAACGUUUCGAAAGGAACGCUAAUACCGCAUACGUCCUACGGGAGAAAGCAGGGGACCUUCGGGCCUUGCGCUAUCAGAUGAGCCUAGGUCGGAUUAGCUAGUUGGUGAGGUAAUGGCUCACCAAGGCGACGAUCCGUAACUGGUCUGAGAGGAUGAUCAGUCACACUGGAACUGAGACACGGUCCAGACUCCUACGGGAGGCAGCAGUGGGGAAUAUUGGACAAUGGGCGAAAGCCUGAUCCAGCCAUGCCGCGUGUGUGAAGAAGGUCUUCGGAUUGUAAAGCACUUUAAGUUGGGAGGAAGGGUUGUAGAUUAAUACUCUGCAAUUUUGACGUUACCGACAGAAUAAGCACCGGCUAACUCUGUGCCAGCAGCCGCGGUAAUACAG